RNAcentral lists this ribosomal RNA (442 nucleotides) under uncultured bacterium. RNAcentral's name for it is "bacterial SSU rRNA". It matches the Rfam family "Bacterial small subunit ribosomal RNA", at positions 338 to 795 of the family's 1533-position model. The record is from RNAcentral.
CCUANGGGAGGCAGCAGUGAGGAAUAUUGCACAAUGGGCGAAAGCCUGAUGCAGCAACGCCGCGUGAGGGACGAAGGCCUUCGGGUUGUAAACCUCUUUUCUGGGGGAAGAGACAAGGACGGUACCUCAGGAAUAAGUCUCGGCUAACUACGUGCCAGCAGCCGCGGUAAAACGUAGGAGGCGAGCGUUAUCCGGAUUUACUGGGCGUAAAGCGCGCGCAGGCGGCUUCGUUAGUCGGACGUGAAAGCUCCCAGCUUAACUGGGAGAGGUCGUUCGAUACUGCGAGGCUUGAGGUUGGGAGAGGGGUGUGGAAUUCCCGGUGUAGUGGUGGAAUGCGUAGAUAUCGGGAGGAACACCUGUGGCGAAAGCGGCACCCUGGCCCACACCUGACGCUGAGGUGCGAAAGCGUGGGGAGCAAACAGGAUUAGAUACCCCUNUANUC